RNAcentral lists this ribosomal RNA (472 nucleotides) under uncultured bacterium. RNAcentral's name for it is "bacterial SSU rRNA". It matches the Rfam family "Bacterial small subunit ribosomal RNA", at positions 335 to 802 of the family's 1533-position model. The record is from RNAcentral.
ACUCCUACGGGAGGCAGCAGUGGGGAAUAUUGCACAAUGGGCGCAAGCCUGAUGCAGCCAUGCCGCGUGUGUGAAGAAGGCCUUCGGGUUGUAAAGCACUUUCAGUCGUGAGGAAGGUAGUGUAGUUAAUAGCUGCAGUAUUUGACGUUAGCGACAGAAGAAGCACCGGCUAACUCCGUGCCAGCAGCCGCGGUAAUACGGAGGGUGCGAGCGUUAAUCGGAAUUACUGGGCGUAAAGCGCAUGCAGGUGGUUUGUUAAGUCAGAUGUGAAAGCCCGGGGCUCAACCUCGGAAUAGCAUUUGAAACUGGCAGACUAGAGUACUGUAGAGGGGGUAGAAUUUCAGGUGUAGCGGUGAAAUGCGUAGAGAUCUGAAGGAAUACCGGUGGCGAAGGCGGCCCCCUGGACAGAUACUGACACUCAGAUGCGAAAGCGUGGGAGCAAACAGGAUUAGAUACCCCUGGUAGACUGUCA